RNAcentral lists this long non-coding RNA (451 nucleotides) under Sorghum bicolor (sorghum). RNAcentral's name for it is "long non-coding RNA (SBIC_LNC016906)". Lineage: Eukaryota; Viridiplantae; Streptophyta; Magnoliopsida; Poales; Poaceae. The record is from RNAcentral.
GGGAAUCCAUUCCGAGGGGUCCUUUCACAUUGCCUUCAACCAGAAACUCUAUUUCGUUUUCAUACCUAUCUAGGAGGGUUGUUCCUAGUAUAAAUAUCCCCUACCUCUAAGCUAUCAGCAACCUUUGAUCAUUUUGAUAAACUACAUGAUAUUGCAGCCGCGCUGCUGAGUGCCUUACUCAACCUUUGUUUUUCCUUGUUCUUCAUGGACUUGUGAAGUGAAUCCUCUGGGUUCCCCUACUUCGUGCUCUACGGCUUCCGUUCGGCUGCGCCGUAUUGUGUGGAUUAGUUCCGGAUUGUGGUUCUGCGGUCGUUCGGAGAUCGAGUCGAAGUCUUCGCGGUUUCGGUGCCUCUCUCCCCGUCGCUUGGUCGCAUCCAACCUUUGUCAGGUAUAAAGCUAGUUACCCGCUGUUCGCAGCAAGUUAUCCUUGUUCUUUUGAUCUACUGUCAUG